CCGCGGUAUAAGGUCGUCCCAUCCUGAAUGGCCGGUGCGCAGACUCAAUUGCGACUUUUGAGGCUGUCAGCCGCCACCCGGCAACCUUCCAGUGAACAGGAUUCUGGGUUUCUCAAAGCUGUAAUUGGAGGGCCACUCCAGAGGUGUUAAAGCUCCAGCACUUCCAGCCUGCCUUGUGGGAAAGUCUUAGGCUGAGUCUGUAGGUGCCUGCAGUUAAGAAGCCAGCGGUCUGCAUAUGAUUGCUCAGGGGUGGUGGCUGGGUACCAACAGCAUUCACUACAGGCCUGCCUUGAAUACCACCUAACGCAGUGCUCCGCAUAUCACAGGGGCUGGAAACCUAACAAUUUCACGUCCUAGACAACUUGCUAAAAGUCACCUAAAGACAGUCUGGUUACUGCCAAAGAUAUGCUUUCAAAUAAGAUUUGGAUAAAGAAGGGAGGUAGAUGCCUUUUUUCAGCAGUGGAGUGAUGUCUAGACCAGUAGAUGUACGCAUCUAAGUGAAUUCAUCACCAGCAACAAUUUCCAGAAACUUCCUGACCUCCAGAUUGCAGCUUCAUUAGUG
RNAcentral lists this non-coding RNA (562 nucleotides) under Pan troglodytes (chimpanzee). Lineage: Eukaryota; Metazoa; Chordata; Mammalia; Primates; Hominidae. The record is from RNAcentral.